This 556-nucleotide ribosomal RNA is filed under the name uncultured bacterium. RNAcentral's name for it is "partial 16S ribosomal RNA". It matches the Rfam family "Bacterial small subunit ribosomal RNA", at positions 355 to 932 of the family's 1533-position model. The record is from RNAcentral.
UGGGGAAUAUUGCACAAUGGGCGAAAGCCUGACGCAGCAACGCCGCGUGAGUGAUGAAGGCCUUCGGGUUGUAAAGCUCUGUCUUUUGGGACGAUAAUGACGGUACCAAAGGAGGAAGCCACGGCUAACUACGUGCCAGCAGCCGCGGUAAUACGUAGGUGGCAAGCGUUGUCCGGAUUUACUGGGCGUAAAGGAUGCGUAGGCGGAUUUUUAAGUGAGAUGUGAAAACCCUAAGCUUAACUUGGGGACUGCAUUUCAUACUGGAAAUCUAGAGUGCGGGAGAGGAGAAUGGAAUUCCUAGUGUAGCGGUGAAAUGCGUAGAGAUUAGGAAGAACACCAGUGGCGAAGGCGAUUCUCUGGACCGUAACUGACGCUGAGGCAUGAAAGCGUGGGUAGCAAACAGGAUUAGAUACCCUGGUAGUCCACGCCGUAAACGAUGAGUACUAGGUGUAGGAGGUAUCGACCCCUUCUGUGCCGCAGUUAACACAAUAAGUACUCCGCCUGGGAAGUACGAUCGCAAGAUUAAAACUCAAAGGAAUUGACGGGGUCAUAGCUG